RNAcentral lists this ribosomal RNA (301 nucleotides) under uncultured bacterium. Its description in RNAcentral is "partial 16S ribosomal RNA". It matches the Rfam family "Bacterial small subunit ribosomal RNA", at positions 509 to 807 of the family's 1533-position model. The record is from RNAcentral.
CAGUAGCCGCGGUAAUACAGAGGGUGCGAGCGUUAAUCGGAUUUACUGGGCGUAAAGCGUGCGUAGGCGGCUUUUUAAGUCGGAUGUGAAAUCCCUUAGCUUAACUUAGGAAUUGCAUUCGAUACUGGGAAGCUAGAGUAUGGGAGAGGAUGGUAGAAUUCCAGGUGUAGCGGUGAAAUGCGUAGAGAUCUGGAGGAAUACCGAUGGCGAAGGCAGCCAUCUGGCCUAAUACUGACGCUGAGGUACGAAAGCAUGGGGAGCAAACAGGAUUAGAUACCCCCGUAGUCCCUGUCUCUUAUAC